Molecule: long non-coding RNA, 1183 nt
Filed under: Chinchilla lanigera (long-tailed chinchilla)
Lineage: Eukaryota; Metazoa; Chordata; Mammalia; Rodentia; Chinchillidae
Description: lncRNA (ENSCLAG00000024869.1)
Source: RNAcentral
AUGAGUCUGCCGAGGUGCAGGAGGGAGAGAGGAUGUGCUGAUGCCCGGGACUCCUUGGUGCUGGAGGCAGAAGAUGUUUCCAAAUUUUCUGACCUGCAGGGCAGAAGACAGUUCUUGUGGAUAGUCAGAGGUGAACGAGCAAGUGACAGGAUGCAUUCAUACUCAUCAGACAUGACUGAAGUGUUUGCCUACCAUCCACCUGAACCAAGUGCAGACAGCACAGGGCCGGCAGAGCUCAUUUCAAGGAAGAGCUGGUUUUAAUCAACUCAGUAGGGGCCCACGGCCAUGCAGAGGUCCCGAAGCCCCGAGUUUUCACAGGAACACAACAAGCCUUAGAUAAAGAUAAGGUAAGGAGUCAAAGUUAGUGAAGGUAGGCUGGGGAGGGGCUACAGAUGGGGGCUGGGUCAGCAGCGCAGUGGUACUUUGUAUUCCCCACGGAAUGGUAAGGGGCAGGAAGAUAGAGAAAGAAGUGAGGUGGCCAUCUGAAUAUGUUUCUCUUUUUCUCUUUUUUUUUGCAGGAUUGCAGAUAAGAUUCAAGACCUUCACACUAACCUACAUGUCCUGCUUAUUAUUAUUAUUAUUAUUAUUUGCUUUGAGGUAGGGGCCUGCGAAGUUGCUCAGGCUGGGCUCCAACUUAAGAUACUCCUGCCUCAGUUUCCCAGAGUGUGGGGAUGACAGAGGUAUGCCACGGCUUCCAGCUCCUUCGUCUUCUGCCCGGGAGUAGGAAGACGCGUAAGACCCCCUUGAGGGUAAUGAGGUUUUGUUCUGAGAGCUGAGGAGGGUCCUGCCUUCCCCAGGGUAGAAGAACCAGGCUGCACAGAGCCGAGAUGGGAGACAGCCGGUCAGGGCAGGAAAAGGUGGUGCAGGACUCCCGAGUGUGCCUGGUUUCCCAGUAACGAGAACGCCAAGUGCUCAGCCAAGGAUGUGAUGCAGCCCCUGUGCCUCCCUUCCUCCAGCACCCAACCUUCCUGCACUGCACACGCACAGCUGUCCUAAUGAGUGAAGCAGGGAGAGGGGAAGGCUUUUGAAAGACAGAGCAAUUUUAUUCGGGGGAGACUGAGUAUUCCCUAAAGCGGCUGUUUAAAUUAUCGGAUCAAACUAAAUUUAAACCGGGUUAGACGUUUAGUUAAUUUAUUUUUCUCUAACCAGCAGGUGGAAGUUUGGAGGAAGACAAGAUUAUAGA